RNAcentral lists this transfer RNA (68 nucleotides) under human gut metagenome. It matches the Rfam family "tRNA". From Rfam's summary of the family: Transfer RNA (tRNA) molecules are approximately 80 nucleotides in length. Their secondary structure includes four short double-helical elements and three loops (D, anti-codon, and T loops). RNAcentral also lists the same sequence under 1 other name. The record is from RNAcentral.
UGAUGUAGCUCAGUCGGUAGAGCAACUGAUUCGUAAUCAGUAGGUCGGGGGUUCGAUUCCCCCCAUUA